CUCCUCUCAGGGUCGCACCUGCAGAGUUUCCAGUACUCUACCAGUCUCGACUACGGAAGGGAGAGUCAAGCAGAGCCAAUUCCAUUCCUAGCUUGGCCGGUGGCUAGCGAGUGGAAGGCAAUCCGCUACAGGU
Ornithorhynchus anatinus (platypus) is the source of this 133-nucleotide small nucleolar RNA. NCBI's taxonomy places the organism in Eukaryota, Metazoa, Chordata, Mammalia, Monotremata, Ornithorhynchidae. The record is from RefSeq and is a predicted model, not a curated record.